This 482-nucleotide ribosomal RNA is filed under the name uncultured bacterium. RNAcentral's name for it is "partial 16S ribosomal RNA". It matches the Rfam family "Bacterial small subunit ribosomal RNA", at positions 28 to 507 of the family's 1533-position model. The record is from RNAcentral.
GACGAGCGCUGGCGGCGUGCUUAACACAUGCAAGUCGAACGAUGAAGAAGAGAAACGCGAACUUCGGUCCAAAUUUCACUUCGGAUUAGUGGCAGACGGGUGAGUAACGCGUGAGCAACCUACCUCUUACAAAGGGAUAGCCUCGGGAAACCGUGAUUAAUACCAUAUGACACAUUCAUAAGGCAUCUUAAGAAUGUUAAAGCUACGGCGGUAAGAGAUGGGCUCGCGUCCCAUUAGCUAGUUGGUGAGGUAACGGCCCACCAAGGCGACGAUGGGUAACCGGCCUGAGAGGGUGAACGGUCACAUUGGAACUGAGACACGGUCCAAACUCCUACGGGAGGCAGCAGUGGGGAAUAUUGCACAAUGGAGGGAACUCUGAUGCAGCGACGCCGCGUGAGCGAUGAAGGAAUUCGUUUCGUAAAGCCCUGUUCUAUGGGAAGAAAAGGACUGUACCAUAGGAGAAAGCCCCGGCUAAAUACGUG